Molecule: ribosomal RNA, 499 nt
Filed under: uncultured bacterium
Lineage: Bacteria
Description: partial 16S ribosomal RNA
Rfam family: Bacterial small subunit ribosomal RNA
Source: RNAcentral
AUUGAACGCUGGCGGCAGGCUUUACAUAUGCAAGUCGAUCGGCAGCACGGACUUCGGUCUGGUGGCGAGUGGCGAACGGGUGAGUAAUGUAUCGGAACGUGCCCAGUCGUGGGGAUAACGUAGUGAAAAUUACGCUAAUACCGCAUACGAUCUAUGGAUGAAAGCGGGGGAUCGCAAGACCUCGCGCGAUUGGAGCGGCCGAUAUCAGAUUAGGUAGUUGGUGGGGUAAAGGCUCACCAAGCCAACGAUCUGUAGCUGGUCUGAGAGGACGACCAGCCACACUGGAACUGAGACACGGUCCAGACUCCUACGGGAGGCAGCAGUGGGGAAUUUUGGACAAUGGACGCAAGUCUGAUCCAGCCAUUCCGCGUGCGGGAUGAAGGCCCUCGGGUUGUAAACUGCUUUUGUACGGAACGAAAAGGUCUCUCUUAAUACGGGGGACUCAUGACGGUACCGUAAGAAUAAGCACCGGCUAACUACGUGCCAGCCGCCGCCGUAA